GACGAACGCUGGCGGCGUGCUUAACACAUGCAAGUCGAACGGAAAGGCCUCUUUCGGGGGGUACUCGAGUGGCGAACGGGUGAGUAACACGUGAGUAACCUGCCCUUGACUUUGGGAUAACUUCAGGAAACUGGGGCUAAUACCGGAUAGGAGCUCCUGCUGCAUGGUGGGGGUUGGAAAGUUUCGGCGGUUGGGGAUGGACUCGCGGCUUAUCAGCUUGUUGGUGGGGUAGUGGCUUACCAAGGCUUUGACGGGUAGCCGGCCUGAGAGGGUGACCGGCCACAUUGGGACUGAGAUACGGCCCAGACUCCUACGGGAGGCAGCAGUGGGGAAUAUUGCACAAUGGGUGGAAGCCUGAUGCAGCAACGCCGUGUGCGGGAUGACGGCCUUCGGGUUGUAAACCGCUUUCGCUCAGGACGAAGCUUUGUGUGACGGUAGUGGGUAAAGAAGCACCGGCUAACUACGUG
This 467-nucleotide ribosomal RNA is filed under the name uncultured bacterium. RNAcentral describes it as "partial 16S ribosomal RNA". It matches the Rfam family "Bacterial small subunit ribosomal RNA", at positions 28 to 507 of the family's 1533-position model. The record is from RNAcentral.